RNAcentral lists this ribosomal RNA (253 nucleotides) under uncultured bacterium. Its description in RNAcentral is "partial 16S ribosomal RNA". It matches the Rfam family "Bacterial small subunit ribosomal RNA", at positions 524 to 776 of the family's 1533-position model. The record is from RNAcentral.
UACGAAGGGGGCUAGCGUUGCUCGGAAUCACUGGGCGUAAAGCGCACGUAGGCGGCUUUUUAAGUCAGGGGUGAAAUCCUGGAGCUCAACUCCAGAACUGCCUUUGAUACUGAGAAGCUCGAGUCCGGGAGAGGUGAGUGGAACUGCGAGUGUAGAGGUGAAAUUCGUAGAUAUUCGCAAGAACACCAGUGGCGAAGGCGGCUCACUGGCCUGGUACUGACGCUGAGGUGCGAAAGCGUGGGGAGCAAACAGG